ACGUGGGGCCUACUGGAGGCAGCAGUGGGGAAUAUUGCACAAUGGGCGCAAUCCUGAUGCAGCCAUGCCGCGUGUAUGAAGAAGGCCUUCGGGUUGUAAAGGGCUUUCAGCGGGGAGGAAGGCGGUGAAGUUAAUAGCUUCACCGAUUACGUACCCGCAGG
RNAcentral lists this ribosomal RNA (161 nucleotides) under uncultured Enterobacter sp. Its description in RNAcentral is "partial 16S ribosomal RNA". It matches the Rfam family "Bacterial small subunit ribosomal RNA", at positions 330 to 485 of the family's 1533-position model. The record is from RNAcentral. Lineage: Bacteria; Pseudomonadati; Pseudomonadota; Gammaproteobacteria; Enterobacterales; Enterobacteriaceae.